GGCUGAUGUAGCCAAGUGGAUCAUGGCAGUGGAUGGUGGAUACACUAUGCGCGGGUCG
RNAcentral lists this transfer RNA (58 nucleotides) under Riccardia sp. NA32. RNAcentral's name for it is "partial tRNA-His". Lineage: Eukaryota; Viridiplantae; Streptophyta; Jungermanniopsida; Metzgeriales; Aneuraceae. The record is from RNAcentral.